CAGCAGCCGCGGGAAUACGAAGGGGGCUAGCGUUGUUCGGAAUUACUGGGCGUAAAGGGCGCGUAGGCGGCCAUUCAAGUUAGAUGUGAAAGCCCUGGGCUCAACCUAGGAAUUGCAUUUGAUACUGUUUGGCUUGAGUUCGGGAGAGGUGAGUGGAAUUCCCAGUGUAGAGGUGAAAUUCGUAGAUAUUGGGAAGAACACCAGUGGCGAAGGCGGCCCACUGGACCGACACUGACGCUGAGGCGCGAAAGCGUGGGGAGCAAACAGGAUUAGAUACCCCUGUAGUCCCUGUCUCUUAUAC
Molecule: ribosomal RNA, 301 nt
Filed under: uncultured bacterium
Lineage: Bacteria
Description: partial 16S ribosomal RNA
Rfam family: Bacterial small subunit ribosomal RNA
Source: RNAcentral